GGAUCCCUUGGAGAAGAAGGCCACCAUUAGUAGGGAUGUGGUCUUUGAUGAAAAUUUAAUUCUAAAGAUAUAAGAGGCCAUAGAGGAGCAGCAGGAGGUCCAACUAGCCAUGGUUGGAUAACUAACCUUUUACUCUGUUUUACCUUUUGCAGGUGCACCAGGAGGACAUGAAAUUCAGCUGGAGCACCAUUCAAAAGUGUCUCCACAUG
This 209-nucleotide long non-coding RNA is filed under the name Elaeis guineensis (African oil palm). RNAcentral's name for it is "long non-coding RNA (EGUI_LNC050948)". Lineage: Eukaryota; Viridiplantae; Streptophyta; Magnoliopsida; Arecales; Arecaceae. The record is from RNAcentral.